GAUGAACGCUGGCGGCGUGCCUAAUACAUGCAAGUCGAGCGAACGGACGAGAAGCUUGCUUCUCUGAUGUUAGCGGCGGACGGGUGAGUAACACGUGGAUAACCUACCUAUAAGACUGGGAUAACUUCGGGAAACCGGAGCUAAUACCGGAGAAUAUUUUGAACCGCAUGGUUCAAAAGUGAAAGACGGUCUUGCUGUCACGUAUAGAUGGAUCCGCGCUGCAUUAGCUAGUUGGUAAGGUAACGGCUUACCAAGGCAACGAUGCGUAGCCGACCUGAGAGGGUGAUCGGCCACACGGGAACUGAGACACGGUCCAGACUCCUACGGGAGGCAGCAGUAGGGAAUCUUACGCAAUGGGCGAAAGCCUGACGGAGCAACGCCGCGUGUGUGAUGAAGGUCUUCGGAUCGUAAAGCUCUGUUAUUAGGGAAGAACAUAUGUGUAAGUAAAUGUGCAGAGCUUGACGGUACCGAAUCAGAAAGCAACGGCUAACUACGUG
Molecule: ribosomal RNA, 497 nt
Filed under: uncultured bacterium
Lineage: Bacteria
Description: partial 16S ribosomal RNA
Rfam family: Bacterial small subunit ribosomal RNA
Source: RNAcentral